UACGGAAGGCAGCAGUGGGGAAUAUUGCACAAUGGGCGCAAGCCUGAUGCAGCCAUGCCGCGUGUAUGAAGAAGGCCUUCGGGUUGUAAAGUACUUUCAGUCGUGAGGAAGGUGUUAAGGUUAAUAACCUUAGCAAUUGACGUUAGCGACAGAAGAAGCACCGGCUAACUCCGUGCCAGCAGCCGCGGUAAUACGGAGGGUGCGAGCGUUAAUCGGAAUUACUGGGCGUAAAAGGGCACGCAGGCGGUUAAUUAAGUUGGAUGUGAAAUCCCCGGGCUUAACCUGGGAAUGGCAUUCAAGACUGGUUAGCUAGAGUCUUGUAGAGGGGGUAGAAUUCCAUGUGUAGCGGUGAAAUGCGUAGAGAUGUGGAGGAAUACCGGUGGCGAAGGCGGCCCCUGGGACAAAGACUGACGCUCAUGUGCGAAAAGCGUGGGGAGCAAAACAGGAUUAGAUACC
Molecule: ribosomal RNA, 456 nt
Filed under: uncultured bacterium
Lineage: Bacteria
Description: bacterial SSU rRNA
Rfam family: Bacterial small subunit ribosomal RNA
Source: RNAcentral